AGGCAAGAAACCUGCUGUGCCUGAGAUCCUAUUUCCAAGGAAAGGGUCACAGAAAGGCGAUAACAAGGGAGAGGGCUGAUGUCUGACUGCCAGUAUUAAGUGUAAAGCAGAGCCAUUUUGCCAAGAACAAUACAGCCUGUGGAACACGGCAGAAAAGUGCCUCGCUAACAACUCAGUUUCUGACCUACUUUAAUAGUGCUAAAAUAAUAAAGACAAAGUCUUAACACUCAACAUUAAAUACCUGUUCCAUGAAUGCAGGCACUCUUCUACACAAGAAGGAAUAAUACACUAAAACUAUAAUUAUAUAAAUUUUAGGUACUGAUCUUGGUGACUGAAGUAGGGAUAAAAAAAAACUAUAUAAAUUCAAAGAAGCAAUGGUUACUGUAAAAGAGGACUCCUAUUUCUGAGUGGGAGACUGUUUUUAUCUUAAUUUAUAACAUGACAAAGUUGUUGGUAGUUUUUGGUUUGUUUUUUAAAGUCAAGACUGAGCUUUAGAAAACCUGGGUUCAAACUCUGAUACUAUCACCUCCUAACUGGUGUUUUCAGCUAAGACAUUUAAACUCGCUGAUCUCAAGCUCUUUGUCUCUAAAACAGGGAUAACAAGGGUUUUCCUUUCCACACCUCAGAGGCAAUGGCAUGAAAUUAGCUUGUCAAAAAUGCAAUGAAAAAAAAAUGUAUAAUGGUAUGGAAUUAACAAUGUUGAAGACACUGGUAGACUGUGGCCAACAAAACAAAAUACAAACAUUCAGAUGGGCUAAAAGUUUAUUUCACAUUUAUAGUGAGAGGAUAGCCUUUCUCCUCCACGAGGCUUGAGUAGUUGAGGAUGGAUACGCUAACUGAAUGGAAAAUGAAUUUAGAGAAUACUGGGUCCAAGAUUAUUCAAGGAGAACCACUAUGAAUUUUACUAAAGGCAAAUUUAAGCAUCAGUAAACUACAUACCUUUUUCUCUUUUCAGACCUGCAUUAUUUGCAAACCACGAUCUGGACGUCCCAAACAUUGCAGCCACGCAAAAUUCUCCGCCCAUUGAUUUGCUGGGUGAAAUUUGUGGAGGUGGUUUAACUUUGCUUAAAAAAUAAAAUGAUAGUAAGAAA
RNAcentral lists this long non-coding RNA (1091 nucleotides) under Lynx pardinus (Iberian lynx). Lineage: Eukaryota; Metazoa; Chordata; Mammalia; Carnivora; Felidae. The record is from RNAcentral.